Molecule: long non-coding RNA, 2099 nt
Organism: Brassica napus (rape)
Lineage: Eukaryota; Viridiplantae; Streptophyta; Magnoliopsida; Brassicales; Brassicaceae
Exons: 6
Source: RefSeq, a predicted model, not a curated record
UAUAUUUAGGUAUAUAAAUCUAUUUCGAUUAUAUUCGGGUACCCAAGAUAUUUCGGUUCGGGCCAGGUUCGAUUUUGGCUCUUUAGAUACUAAAAUUUUGAACCCGUUCGGAUAUUUAAUCAAUUUCUGUUCAGAUUUGGUACUAUUUUUUCGGAUUGGGUUCGGUUCGGUUCUUCGGAUCUGGGUUCUUUGCCCAUCCCUAGCUAAUGCUUUGCAUAGAUUAUUAAACCUUAGUUUGAACUUUAUUAAACCCAAAUAGACCGAGACCCAAUUUUUUAAAAAACACAUGAACAUAACUAAAAUGUGAAAAGUAAUAACAAAGUGAUAUGGAAUGGAAUGGUUUAUAAGUAGAGAUAACAAAGUGAUUGGGCAUUAUUAGAAUAAUAUGGAACAGUUAUAAGAAAAAUAUAUAUUUGUUUCAGUAGGUAUGCGCAAGGUGCUUUACAUACCCAUAAAAAUCCAAAACGGAAAACCGUUAAAAACCAUAAUGCACUCGGGUCUUACAUUAAACCAGGAUUUAUAUUAAACCGAAAAUAUUGAACCGGAUAAACAAAGAGGACUGAAUUUUGAAAAAUUCGCAAGUCGAAAACCCUCCCCCAAAUCUGAAGCUUUCCAUCUCGAAGUCGUGAUGGGUUUCUUCUCAAUCAAUGUCGCUUAGUAUGAGAAAUGAAUUGACUCUGUUUGGACGCACUACAGGACUUUUCACCGCUGACAUGAAGCUUCAUCUUCACAAGCUUAGACUUUCCUCAACCAAAUGUUUGGGACCUGGACCGAUUCUCUCAAGUCUCUUCAGACAUGUGCGCAAGAGUUUGAUUACACUGAAGAUCUUCACACUCUCUCUAGGACAAGGCCAAGAAGCCUCAAGGUGUGGCUAUGGGAAGGCUCAUACUCAGUGACAACGGAGACAUGCAGAGUGAUGCUUAGUUGGAAAAAUAAAAUAUGCAGCUUGUAUGUACAGUAUAAAGUUAGCACAGUGACAUAUUCUGAUAGUCUUUUGAUCACAGCGAAUUAUGAAACUUCUGCUACAAGAUGUCAAGUUUGACACGAGGAAUAAUGAGAGUUUGCUAUAUAUCGUUGGUGUGCUAAUACUGGUUUGAGUUGGUUCAGUUUCGAAUGAGCAAAAGCGAGUUUCAGAAUUUCAGUGGUUGGGUUUGUCUAGUAGCGCACAUUUGUGGAGACUGUUAUCUGGAACUAGGGUUGAAGCUCUUGCUAAGAGAUGUUAAGAGAAAUAGAUGGUAUAAAGCAACAAACAUUCAAGCUCCAGCUGGGAAGAUUCAGAGGCUUCUGGUUUUGGUUUCCAGUACAUAUGAGAAGCUUACUUGCCCCUGAAACUGCAGCAGCAAGAUUGGCUCUGACUAACUAUACAUACCAGGUGCGGGUAUGGAGAGAAGUAAGAUCAAUCCUACAAAGACUGAUGGUAUAAAGAUCUCAGUGGAGAUGAUCCAAGCAAGCAAGAGACCUUGGCAGGUUUAUGGUCAUACCAGACAUUCUCAAGCAUACUCCAAUGUUCAAGCGCUUAGAUGCUAGAAUCAAGGUUUUACUCAAGGAAUCACUUCUCAACACCCCCUCUUGAUUCCUUGAGUUGUUGCCUCGGUUCCAGCUCAGAAUUUUAAAGUUUGAUACCUUUGAAGUGCCUCUGUUUUCUCCUUUGCUUAUUGAAGUUGCUUUGCUGAGAAGUCUCUUUGUCCUAGCUCCUUCUUGCAGACUUGUGGCUUGACAUACACAGGGGAAUUUGUGAACGUUGAGUAUGAUGAAUUGAUGAUGGAGGUAUGAAACCUGAGCGGCCAUCUGGUAGAGGGAGAGGUGGAGGAUGUGGUGGUCAUGAAAGAGGAUGUUACAGUGGACCUCCACCAUACUAUGAAGCUCAACAAGAUGGAGGAGAUUAUGGAUACAACAAUGCUCCUCCUCCACAAUACCAUGAGUAUUAUGAUCGUGGAUUCAACAGAUCAAACGGACCACCGAUUCAGGCAGCUGCUUAAGUGAAUGGACUUUGUUCUUUUCCUUCAUUCUCCACCUUUUGUCUUUGUUGUUGCUGUAACACAAUUUGUCUCUUUGAUUUUGCCUUAAGGUUUAUAUAUAAUAUGUUACAUUUAUUUUUA